RNAcentral lists this ribosomal RNA (253 nucleotides) under uncultured bacterium. RNAcentral describes it as "partial 16S ribosomal RNA". It matches the Rfam family "Bacterial small subunit ribosomal RNA", at positions 524 to 776 of the family's 1533-position model. The record is from RNAcentral.
UACGUAGGGGGCAAGCGUUGUCCGGAAUCAUUGGGCGUAAAGAGCGCGUAGGCGGCCCUGUAAGUCCGCUGUGAAAGUCAAGGGCUCAACCCUUGAAUGCCGGUGGAUACUGUCGGGCUAGAGUGCGGAAGAGGCGAGUGGAAUUCCUGGUGUAGCGGUGGAAUGCGCAGAUAUCAGGAGGAACACCGAUGGCGAAGGCAGCUCGCUGGGACGGUACUGACGCUGAGGCGCGAAAGCGUGGGGAGCGAACAGG